RNAcentral lists this microRNA precursor (59 nucleotides) under Pristionchus pacificus. Its description in RNAcentral is "mir-8229 microRNA precursor family". It matches the Rfam family "mir-8229 microRNA precursor family". The record is from Rfam by way of RNAcentral. Lineage: Eukaryota; Metazoa; Nematoda; Chromadorea; Rhabditida; Neodiplogasteridae.
CAUUGUCUUCACGAUGCUGAACGCGUUAUUGAAACCGUGAACAUCGUGUAAGGCUAAGG